This 546-nucleotide ribosomal RNA is filed under the name Melampsora sp. HNMAP3175. RNAcentral's name for it is "eukaryotic LSU rRNA". It matches the Rfam family "Eukaryotic large subunit ribosomal RNA", at positions 86 to 625 of the family's 3401-position model. Lineage: Eukaryota; Fungi; Basidiomycota; Pucciniomycetes; Pucciniales; Melampsoraceae. The record is from RNAcentral.
ACGGCGAGUGAACAGGGAAAAGCCCAAAUUUGUAAUCUGGCACUUUUUACAAGUGUCCGAGUUGUAAUUUGUAGAGCUGUUAUCCGUACUGGACCAUGUACAAGUCUGUUGAAAAGCAGCAUCAUUGAAGGUGAAAAUCCUGUAGAUGAUAUGGACUACCAGUAUAUUUGUGAUACGGUUUCUAAGAGUCGAGUUGUUUGGGAAUGCAGCUCAAAGUGGGUGGUAAAUUCCAUCUAAGGCUAAAUAUAAGUGAGAGACCGAUAGCAAACAAGUACCGUGAGGGAAAGAUGAAAAGAACUUUGAAAAUAGAGUUAACAGUACGUGAAAUUGCUGAAAGGGAAACGUUUGAAGUUAGUUUUGUAUUCGUUGGAUCAGCUUCGCAAGGAGUGUAUUCUGAUGAUAAGCAAGUCAACAUCAGUCUAUGAGUGUUGGAUAAGGGUUUUGAGAAUGUAGCAAUUUAAUUGUGUUAUAGCUUGAGACUUGGAUACAAUGCUUUGGAUUGAGGAACGCGUAGUAAGCUUUGAGCGGAUUCGAAAGGAUCUCCUU